UUUAAAUAGAAGUUGCCGAAAUGUUCAUGUCCGUCAUAUUUGUUUUUCGUAAGAGCACAUAUUUCGUCCUAUUUGUCCUCUUAUUUUUUAGGAUCUGGGUAUGUGUUUGUCUCUUUGUUUUUCUCAUUUUGACGCUACAUUAGUCCCUUAUUUCUGUGACAAAAUCAAUUUAAAUAAAACUCAGAUGAUUGACACAAGGGAUAGAAAGUGUUCCGACCAAAGAGGGCGGGUAGUGUUACCCAACUCCGAUAUAUUCAUGUAUGUAGUUUAUAGUGGUGAAACCUCACUCCCCCGAUAUAUACGCUAAAGCGGGAAACCAAAAAAUCAAAGUGAAAGAAG
Molecule: long non-coding RNA, 339 nt
Filed under: Mytilus galloprovincialis (Mediterranean mussel)
Lineage: Eukaryota; Metazoa; Mollusca; Bivalvia; Mytilida; Mytilidae
Source: RNAcentral